CGAAGGUGGCAAGCGUUACUCGGAAUUACUAGGCGUAAAGGGCAGGUAGGUGGUCUGAUAAGUCUGUUGUGUAAGCUCCCGGCUUAACUGGGAGAGGUCAACAGAUACUGUCAGGCUUGAGUAUAGGAGAGGUUACUGGAAUUCCCGGUGUAGCGGUGAAAUGCGCAGAUAUCGGGAGGAACACCAAUGGCGAAAGCAGGUAACUGGACUAUUACUGACACUCAGCUGCGAAAGCUAGGGGAGCAAACAGGAUUAGAUACCCUGGUAGUCCUAGCUGUAAACGAUGCACAUUAGGCGUGAGGGGUAUCGACCCCCUUCGUGCCGACGCUAACGCAUUAAAUGUGCCGCCUGGGGAUACGGCCGCAAGGUUG
Molecule: ribosomal RNA, 371 nt
Filed under: uncultured organism
Description: bacterial SSU rRNA
Rfam family: Bacterial small subunit ribosomal RNA
Source: RNAcentral